RNAcentral lists this ribosomal RNA (417 nucleotides) under bacterium enrichment culture clone ALO1_GLFRUDD03GO1RS. RNAcentral's name for it is "bacterial SSU rRNA". It matches the Rfam family "Bacterial small subunit ribosomal RNA", at positions 9 to 428 of the family's 1533-position model. The record is from RNAcentral.
GAGUUUGAUCAUGGCUCAGAUUGAACGCUGGCGGCAUGCCUUACACAUGCAAGUCGAACGGCAGCACGGGAGCUUGCUCCUGGUGGCGAGUGGCGAACGGGUGAGUAAUGCAUCGGAACGUAUCCUGGAGUGGGGGAUAACGUAGCGAAAGUUACGCUAAUACCGCAUAUUCUGUGAGCAGGAAAGCGGGGGACCUUCGGGCCUCGCGCUCUUGGAGCGGCCGAUGUCGGAUCAGCUAGUUGGUGAGGUAAAGGCUCACCAAGGCGACGAUCCGUAGCAGGUCUGAGAGGAUGAUCUGCCACACUGGAACUGAGACACGGUCCAGACUCCUACGGGAGGCAGCAGUGGGGAAUUUUGGACAAUGGGGGCAACCCUGAUCCAGCCAUGCCGCGUGAGUGAAGAAGGCCUCGGUUGUAA